Molecule: ribosomal RNA, 253 nt
Filed under: uncultured bacterium
Lineage: Bacteria
Description: partial 16S ribosomal RNA
Rfam family: Bacterial small subunit ribosomal RNA
Source: RNAcentral
UACGAAGGGUGCAAGCGUUACUCGGAAUUACUGGGCGUAAAGCGUGCGUAGGUGGUUUGUUAAGUCUGACGUGAAAGCCCUGGGCUCAACCUGGGAAUGGCAUUGGAUACUGGCGAUCUAGAGUGCGGUAGAGGGCAGUGGAAUUCCCGGUGUAGCAGUGAAAUGCGUAGAGAUCGGGAGGAACAUCUGUGGCGAAGGCGACUGACUGGACAAGUAUUGACGCUGAGGUGCGAAAGCGUGGGGAGCAAACAGG